RNAcentral lists this non-coding RNA (237 nucleotides) under Paracerasibacillus soli. RNAcentral's name for it is "Virgibacillus soli T-box sequence". It matches the Rfam family "T-box leader". Rfam says of the family: Uncharged tRNA acts as the effector for transcription antitermination of genes in the T-box leader family. T-boxes are found upstream of many aminoacyl-tRNA synthetase genes and some amino acid biosynthetic genes usually in Gram-positive bacteria. Lineage: Bacteria; Bacillati; Bacillota; Bacilli; Caryophanales; Bacillaceae. The record is from RNAcentral.
AUAACAGCAAUGAGAAGGAUCAAGGUAGCAGCUCUUAUCAUACAGAGACCAAUCGGAUAGCUGAGACGAUGGGAUAAUCUGAAACCAACUCACCUUUUAGCUGAUUUUCUGAACACGAAUAGUAAGAAAAUCCGUUUGACCUACGUUACAGGCAUGAACGAAGACUUUUUUGUCUAUUGAUAAAAAGGUAAAUUAGGGUGGUACCACGUUAGGAAUAAAACUCCUGUCGUCCCUUGU